UACAUCUUACUCCGGACCCUGGCCUGAACGCCUGCAAAUGGGAGGGUAAACGUUUGCCUUCACACACCCCUGGCGCAAUUAUGUGAGCAUUGCUUUAGGUCGGGAAAACGACACAGAACGUCAGGUGGGGGUCAAUGGCUGGUACGCUUAUAAUUAAGCGUGGAAUUUUGGCCGAUCCUGAUGAAAAGGGAAAGCGAAAAAAUGUAUAUCAAUCUAAAUCCUGCAAGAUUUUCGUCCUUAAGUGUGUAAAAAUGAACAGGCUCACUUUUCACAGGGUCAUAACAAGGAGUAAAAAUUGAUGAGUGUCGAUCUUAAGUUUUCUCUGGUAACGACCAUUAUUGUGCUGGGUUUGAUCGUCGCCAGCGCGUUGGUUGCCGUACUGCAUUGAUUU
RNAcentral lists this small RNA (391 nucleotides) under uncultured Superficieibacter sp. RNAcentral's name for it is "Enterobacterial sRNA STnc550". It matches the Rfam family "Enterobacterial sRNA STnc550". The record is from RNAcentral. Lineage: Bacteria; Pseudomonadati; Pseudomonadota; Gammaproteobacteria; Enterobacterales; Enterobacteriaceae.